GACGAACGCUGGCGGCGUGCCUAAUACAUGCAAGUAGAACGCACAGUUUAUACCGUAGCUUGCUACACCAUAGACUGUGAGUUGCGAACGGGUGAGUAACGCGUAGGUAACCUGCCUGGUAGCGGGGGAUAACUAUUGGAAACGAUAGCUAAUACCGCAUAAUAUUAAUUAUUGCAUGAUAAUUAAUUGAAAGGUGCAAUUGCACCACUACCAGAUGGACCUGCGUUGUAUUAGCUAGUAGGUGAGGUAACGGCUCACCUAGGCGACGAUACAUAGCCGACCUGAGAGGGUGAUCGGCCACACUGGGACUGAGACACGGCCCAGACUCCUACGGGAGGCAGCAGUAGGGAAUCUUCGGCAAUGGACGAAAGUCUGACCGAGCAACGCCGCGUGAGUGAAGAAGGGUUUCGGAUCGUAAAGCUCUGUUGUAAGGGAAGAACGGGUGUGAGAGUGGAAAGUUCACACUGUGACGGUAUCUUACCAGAAAGGGACGGCUAACUACGUG
RNAcentral lists this ribosomal RNA (505 nucleotides) under uncultured bacterium. RNAcentral describes it as "partial 16S ribosomal RNA". It matches the Rfam family "Bacterial small subunit ribosomal RNA", at positions 28 to 507 of the family's 1533-position model. The record is from RNAcentral.